UACGGCCUGGUGUAUUUGCACACGGACCUUUGGCAUCCGAGGUAUAGGUAAUCCUAUGGCUGUAA
This 65-nucleotide transfer RNA is filed under the name Polydora hoplura. RNAcentral describes it as "tRNA-Gln". Lineage: Eukaryota; Metazoa; Annelida; Polychaeta; Spionida; Spionidae. The record is from RNAcentral.